GGCCGGGGGGGCGGGGCGGGUGCGGGGGCAGCGCUGGGGGGUCCUGCUGCUGGCGCGGCUGCUGCGGGGGGAGGGCGGCGCCUGAGAUGUCGCGACACAGCGGGGUGGGCGUGUCGGGACAUGGCGCCCCCCCAGCCCCCGUUUUGUGACCACCCCCCCCCUCAAAAAACACUUGGAAAGCGCAAAAUCCGUGUCCGGCUCUGUGAGGGGGGGUCUGAGGGUAUCUCUGUGGGGCUGGGGGCUCCCAUAGGGCCGGGGGUGUCCCUUGGGGUCUGGGGAGGGGUCCCAGUACACGAGGAGGGGGCUUAAACCCCCCCCGACCCCAAACCUCCCACUUCCGCCAUAUUUCCUCCCCCAUGGGCGCCGCCAUCUUUGUUUCCUCCAACAUGGCGCUUCCGGCGCGCUUUGACGUCACUUCCGCACUCCCAAUUUUCUCCCCCCCCAUCUAAAAUGGCGGCUCCCGUUCGGGUCCGGGUCCCUCCCGGGGCUCCCCCGGAGCCGCUCCCGGUUCAGCUCCUGCCCUGCCGGAUCCAGCACGACGGGCCCGCCCCUGUGGCCGCGUUCCUGCGGGCCCGGCCCGGCCCGGACGGCGAUCUCUGGGCCUCGUUCCGGGGGCGCCGUUUGGGGGGUCGGGAGCUGCCGCUGCCCCCCGGCUACACGGGGGCGGUGCUCAGGGGGGGGGAGCCCGGAGAGCCCCCCCGGGGCGACCCCCAGGUGAGGCAGAGGGACCCCAAAUCCCCUCCGUGGGGCAGAGACCCCCAAACCCCCCUGUGGGGCUCAGACCCCCCCCUUAUCCCCUCCCGGGGGUCUCAGCCCCUCCCGGGGGUCUCAGCCCCCAUGUUCCCCCCGGGGGGGGGUCUCAGCCCCGUGUCCCCCCUGCCCUUUGCCCCCAGGCCGCCUCGGUGA
This 906-nucleotide long non-coding RNA is filed under the name Camarhynchus parvulus. RNAcentral describes it as "lncRNA (ENSCPVG00000006937.2)". Lineage: Eukaryota; Metazoa; Chordata; Aves; Passeriformes; Thraupidae. The record is from RNAcentral.